GUUAAUAAUUAGAGAGAUAAUUUUUCAUUUAUAGGUAAAAUUGUACAUGAGGAGGUUUUUUGGUGCUUCUGUUUUUUUGAUGCCAUGAAAAUUAAGUUGUAGACCGGGAUUAGAUACCCCGUUAUUCUUUUUUAUAAAUUUUGAUUAUGUAUGUAGUUUACCAGAGUAUUACGAGUUGCUUGUUGCAGGUAAAAUGAGCUGUACUUAAAACUUAAAAAACUUGGCGGUGCCUCAAUUCUUUCCAGGGGAACCUGUUCUGUUAUCGAUGAUCCACGUUUAAACUUACUUUACUUUGUAUUUAUACGUUUUGUGUGAACAGCCUGUAUACCGUCGUCGUCAGAUUACCUCUAAGAGUAGAAAAGUUAUCUGGUUAAGUGUAACCUUCGACCGCUGUCGUAGGUCCGUUUAUGAUGUCAGAUCAAGGUGCAGCUAAUAGUAAAGUAGAAAUGGGUUACAAUAAUUAUUCUUUUUGAACUUUAGACUGUAAGGUUUAGAUGAAAUUGGACUGGAAGUAAUAAAAUAGUGAGUAAUAGAGAGAUUGA
RNAcentral lists this ribosomal RNA (542 nucleotides) under Broderipia iridescens. RNAcentral's name for it is "partial 12S rRNA". The record is from RNAcentral. Lineage: Eukaryota; Metazoa; Mollusca; Gastropoda; Trochida; Trochidae.